UGGACAGGGUUUCAUAAAUCUCCUCCAAUAGAGAAACAUGCAUAUGCUGUUAGUAUAUACACGUUUAUGGGGGUUUCUGCAAUCAUCUUUCGAGAUUUUACAGCAUGCCAUAAAGAAAGUAGCCAGAAUUACAACCACAACAUCUAAAUAUGGGGUUUGUUCGACCAAAGAGAAACCUAACUUUAUUUACAGAGCAAUAUUUAGUUUACUUUUACCCAUUUACAAGAGUGCGGAGGAUGCGAUUGUCGGCUUACGCCUGUAAUUAAUACUUAAGGGAACUUUGUUCACAUUCUUGAAGCUUAAUAAAGUACGAAAACAAUCCAGAACAGAUUAUGACUUGGGGGGUGCCAAUCCUUAGAUUGUGUCUUUUAUCAGGAAACCAAUGUUUAUCAGAAAUCGGCAUGCAGUAAUGGAUUUUUAUUACUAAAUAGGUCAGAAAUGUUGUGCAGACACUUUUUUUUAAAUAAAUCUUUAUGAGGGUUGGCGAACACAGCUGUAUAUCCACUACUUUAUUGAAAUAGUUCUCUGAAAAUCAUUGUAUAUGGACUUACACAGCUCCAGUGCACAAACAGCAAGCUCCUCAGGUCCCUCUAGAGGUGGCCACCUGAUUUUUUUUUUAAUGCUUUUGACAAUCUUUUGACAUUCCCAAGAGACAUGUCAAAAGUAUAGAUCCAUCAGGGUGUGGGUGUCCAGACCCUGACCGAUUGCUAGAAUCAUAAGGGAGAAGCAUGUGGCUGAUAUGGAUAGCAGGGAUUGUCUUGCUAUUUUGUCUUCUGCUGAUCAGGCUUCACUGUUGAGAGCUCAUUGUGAGUAGGAGUUUCUGAUUGGUUUGCCUCUCUUAAUCUAUCCCUGACUGUUGCAGUGUGGUGCAGAUUAAACCCAGUGUCACCUCCAUUUUCCUAGUACUUCGUUCUAGUCUCCAGACUUUGUUCAGUCUACUUGGGUUUUAGUUCACUCUUUUAGUUGUUGUUUCUAACUUUGCAGUUGCUGUUCUCCCAGUUUGACCUUGUUGCAGUUGAUUCUUAGUUUAGUAGUGUUCAUCCUUGUUUUUUUCUGUGGGUAAUAAAGCCCUCCUGCUGUUUAAAGGGGUAUUCCGCCCCUAGACAUCUCAUCCCCUAUCCAAAGGAUAGGGGAUAAGAUGUCUGAUCGUGGGGGUCCCACCGUAGGGAACCCCCCGCGAUCUCUCCUGCAGCACCCUGAGUCAUCAGCUGCAUGGAGAAAAGAUAGCUCCGUGCU
Long non-coding RNA from Hyla sarda, 1236 nucleotides. RefSeq lists it as uncharacterized. The transcript has 3 exons. The record is from RefSeq and is a predicted model, not a curated record. NCBI's taxonomy places the organism in Eukaryota, Metazoa, Chordata, Amphibia, Anura, Hylidae.